This 71-nucleotide transfer RNA is filed under the name Pangasianodon hypophthalmus (striped catfish). It matches the Rfam family "tRNA". From Rfam's summary of the family: Transfer RNA (tRNA) molecules are approximately 80 nucleotides in length. Their secondary structure includes four short double-helical elements and three loops (D, anti-codon, and T loops). Further hydrogen bonds mediate the characteristic L-shaped molecular structure. tRNAs have two regions of fundamental functional importance: the anti-codon, which is responsible for specific mRNA codon recognition, and the 3' end, to which the tRNAs corresponding amino acid is attached (by aminoacyl-tRNA synthetases). tRNAs cope with the degeneracy of the genetic code in two manners: having more than one tRNA (with a specific anti-codon) for a particular amino acid; and 'wobble' base-pairing, i.e. permitting non-standard base-pairing at the 3rd anti-codon position. The record is from Rfam by way of RNAcentral. Lineage: Eukaryota; Metazoa; Chordata; Actinopteri; Siluriformes; Pangasiidae.
UCCCUGGAGGACUAGUGGUUAGGCCUUGCGCUCUCAAUGCUGCGGCCUGGGUUCGAUUCCCAGCCAGGGAA